ACUCCUACGGGAGGCAGCAGUAGGGAAUCUUCCACAAUGGACGAAAGUCUGAUGGAGCAACGCCGCGUGAGUGAAGAAGGGUUUCGGCUCGUAAAACUCUGUUGUUAAAGAAAGAACAUAUCUGAGAGUAACUGUUCAGGUAUUGACGGUAUUUAACCAGAAAGCCACGGCUAACUACGUGCCAGCAGCCGCGGUAAUACGUAGGUGGCAAGCGUUGUCCGGAUUUAUUGGGCGUAAAGCGAGCGCAGGCGGUUUUUAAGUCUGAUGUGAAAGCCUUCGGCUCAACCGAAGAAGUGCAUCGGAAACUGGGAAACUUGAGUGCAGAAGAGGACAGUGGAACUCCAUGUGUAGCGGUGAAAUGCGUAGAUAUAUGGAAGAACACCAGUGGCGAAGGCGGCUGUCUGGUCUGUAACUGACGCUGAGGCUCGAAAGUAU
Molecule: ribosomal RNA, 435 nt
Filed under: uncultured bacterium
Lineage: Bacteria
Description: bacterial SSU rRNA
Rfam family: Bacterial small subunit ribosomal RNA
Source: RNAcentral